AGAGUUUGAUCCUGGCUCAGGACAAACGCUGGCGGCGUGCGUAACACAUGCAAGUCGGACGGGGUUGUGUGACGCGAGUGAUCGCGUGGCAUGGCCGAGUGGCGGACGGGUGAGUAAGACGUGGAUAACCUACCCUGGUGUGGGGGAUACCCUGUAGAAAUAUGGGCUAAGACCGCAUGAGGUCGCUUUGGGGGAGCCUG
Molecule: ribosomal RNA, 200 nt
Filed under: uncultured bacterium
Lineage: Bacteria
Description: partial 16S ribosomal RNA
Rfam family: Bacterial small subunit ribosomal RNA
Source: RNAcentral